RNAcentral lists this non-coding RNA (31 nucleotides) under Mus musculus (house mouse). Lineage: Eukaryota; Metazoa; Chordata; Mammalia; Rodentia; Muridae. The record is from RNAcentral.
UNGCCACUGGGUGUUCACAGUGAUGGAGCUU